This 253-nucleotide ribosomal RNA is filed under the name uncultured bacterium. RNAcentral describes it as "partial 16S ribosomal RNA". It matches the Rfam family "Bacterial small subunit ribosomal RNA", at positions 524 to 776 of the family's 1533-position model. The record is from RNAcentral.
UACGGAGGGUGCAAGCGUUAAUCGGAAUUACUGGGCGUAAAGCGCGUGUAGGCGGGAGGCCAAGUCUGUGGUGAAAUCGCUCGGCUUAACUGGGCGGGGUCCAUGGAAACUGGUCACCUGGAGGUCGGUAGAGGCAAGUGGAAUUCCCGGUGUAGUGGUGAAAUGCGUAGAGAUCGGGAGGAACACCAGUGGCGAAGGCGGCUUGCUGGGCCGGACCUGACGCUGAGACGCGAGGGCGUGGGGAGCGAACAGG